RNAcentral lists this ribosomal RNA (253 nucleotides) under uncultured bacterium. RNAcentral's name for it is "partial 16S ribosomal RNA". It matches the Rfam family "Bacterial small subunit ribosomal RNA", at positions 524 to 776 of the family's 1533-position model. The record is from RNAcentral.
UACAGAGGGGGCAAGCGUUAUUCGGAAUUAUUGGGCGUAAAGGGCGCGUAGGCGGCUUGGCAAGUGGAUGGUGAAAUCCCUCGGCUUAACCGAGGAACUGCCGUCCAAACUGCUUUGCUUGAGACCGGGAGAGGUGAGUGGAAUUCCCAGUGUAGCGGUGAAAUGCGUAGAUAUUGGGAGGAACACCAGUGGCGAAGGCGGCUCACUGGACCGGUACUGACGCUGAGGCACGAAAGCGUGGGGAGCAAACAGG